UCUGGUGAAAAUCGCGGAAGGGUCACACCCGUUCCCAUUCCGAACACGACCGUUAAGCCUUCCAGCGCCGAUGGUACUUGGGGCAGGUCCCCGGGAGAGUAGGUCUCCGCCAGAU
This 115-nucleotide ribosomal RNA is filed under the name Clostridiales bacterium. Lineage: Bacteria; Bacillati; Bacillota; Clostridia; Eubacteriales. The record is from RNAcentral.